UUUUUUUACCAUGUUCUAGUGUUUUUUGCCAGGAUUGAUUGCCCAGCGCAAGAAACUCCUGAAAUCCUGAUGGAGAACGUUCGGCUUUGUUUGCUCAACCAAAACUAUGCUUUGGUUGGCACCCUUGUGCUUCUUCCUUUUCUGUCCUCCCUGUGUGUCCACAUGUCCAUCCUGGGUGACGUUCCUUCCUUUCCAGACUUGUCUCUGUGCAUCCGCCACCCUUAUCUUUGCCCCCCCCCAUCUGCUUCUCAGUCAUGCGCUCACUCUCUGUGUCUCUCUUGGCUUCUCUGUCUCUUGCCGUUUCCUGUCCGUCUGCGGAGCUGCCUGACUUCCUCUCCUGUCCAUUAAUCGAGAAGCAGUCAUACACAAGAGCUGGGAAACGUGGCUUUGCAAGCAUUCAUGUGAGCACCGUGUGUGUGUGCCGCGCCCCGGGCAGCAGUGACUCAGGUUUGACCCUUUGGCUGUAGCCAAAUAAGUGCGCCAGUGUGCCAGGAUGGCCAACACGGUUUGGAACCAGGGGAGGUGCAUUUUGAUGAGGGGGCGGAGCCAGGGAUGGUGAGGGGUUCCAGGCAUGGAGCUAAGAAGUUUGUUUUUCCUUGUUGACACUAAAGGAGUAGGCUGGAGGCUUCUGAGCCAGGCAGGGCUCUGCUGGACUGGGGGCGGUAUUACCAGGGAAUGGCAUGGGUUGGAAAAAGCCAAGACUGGAGAUGGGGGCAGAGCAACUGGGGAACUGGGGCACUAGGCCACAUAGGAGACCAGGAGUUGGCAAAAGGCCGUGUGCUGCCAGGCAAUCAGUACUGCAGCCCAGCUGGUGGGCUGGGGGAGGCAGGCAGAGAAACUCAGGCCUGGGUCGUAGCCUAGACUAAGCCAACAAGGAUCAUGGAGGUCCACAGUCAAGAGCAAGGAGGGACUGCAGACCUUAAAGGCCAAGUCUAACCUUCUGCUCCUGUGGGUGAGGAAUGCUUUAUUUCCCUCCAGGGGAAACAGACCACCUGCUCUUUGCCAGUUGCAUUCUCCUCGUCUGCCAGUAGAGGUCGCCAUUGUCCACUCGGUCCUAGGGGCAGCUACGUGACCCAAGCCUGCACCACCACCAUGGUCCCACCCCGUGGCCACAGCUGCUUCAAGGAUGGUCACAUGAGCCAGUGGGGCCCAGUGACAGCCCUGGAGUUUCUGUGGGAACUGCUGGAACUGCCAGUCACUAAAGAAUUCCCUAGGGGGCCAGCAAGGUCGGGAGAGGCCUGCCUGAGAAUGACUUGAACACAAAAGAGUUGAAGGAGGCGGAGUGUGAGCUUCCUGCGGGCAGCCCUCCUGAACUUCGUGUUGUGAGUCACCAAAUGCCCUUCAGGCUCUUGAGAGAAAAGCCUCUGGGAGGCAAAGACCAGGCUGCGGUGCCAGGCCUGUGGCUCCUGACUCCCUCCUGGAUACCCCUGGGACACUGGUGCCCAUGGAUGCACUGGGUGACGUGAGGUCAAUGGCUUCUCUCUUCAGACUUUGGCAGAAAUAAAAAUCUGCUUUGCACCAAAGAAUCUCAAGAGACUCUUAAGUCCUGCUCUUUCCUCCCUCGGGCUCCCUCAGUUAUGAGCUCAUUUGACCUCCGAGCCACCUGGCCAGCAGGGGCCAGCUCCCCAUUAUACAGAUAGGAAAACUGGGGACUGGGAAAUGACUGAACAGAGUCCUGCAGUGACUCUGUCUGUGAAGAAAGCUUCGGAAUCCAGCCCGUCUUUCCGUGGGUGAGGGGUCAGCAAAUCCAGCCCACUGCCUGUUUUUGUAAAUAAAGUAUUAUUGAGGGGCACCUGGGUGGCUCAGUCAA
Molecule: long non-coding RNA, 1810 nt
Organism: Suricata suricatta (meerkat)
Lineage: Eukaryota; Metazoa; Chordata; Mammalia; Carnivora; Herpestidae
Exons: 2
Source: RefSeq, a predicted model, not a curated record